CCCCAAAACCGGAAUCUUCUAAUUAAACUA
This 30-nucleotide transfer RNA is filed under the name Lepidochelys olivacea (Pacific ridley). RNAcentral's name for it is "partial tRNA-Pro". The record is from RNAcentral. Lineage: Eukaryota; Metazoa; Chordata; Testudines; Cheloniidae.